UACGUAGGGGGCAAGCGUUGUCCGGAAUCAUUGGGCGUAAAGAGCGUGUAGGCGGCCCGAUAAGUCCGCUGUGAAAGUCCAGGGCUCAACCCUGGGAUGCCGGUGGAUACUGUCGGGCUCGAGUCCGGAAGAGGAGUGUGGAAUUCCUGGUGUAGCGGUGAAAUGCGCAGAUAUCAGGAGGAACACCGAUGGCGAAGGCAGGUCACUGGGCCGCAACUGACGCUGAGGAGCGAAAGCAUGGGGAGCGAACAGG
Molecule: ribosomal RNA, 253 nt
Filed under: uncultured bacterium
Lineage: Bacteria
Description: partial 16S ribosomal RNA
Rfam family: Bacterial small subunit ribosomal RNA
Source: RNAcentral